UCCUACGGGAGGCAGCAGUGAGGAAUAUUGGUCAAUGGGCGGAAGCCUGAACCAGCCAAGUCGCGUGGAGGAAGACGGCCCUACGGGUUGUAAACUCCUUUUACCUGGGAAUAACGGGCGCUACGUGUAGCGCUGUGCAUGUACCGGGAGAAUAAGCAUCGGCUAAUUCCGUGCCAGCAGCCGCGGUAAUACGGAAGAUGCGAGCGUUAUCCGGAUUUAUUGGGUUUAAAGGGUGCGUAGGCGGAAGAAUAAGUCAGCGGUGAAAUGCUUCAGCUCAACUGGAGAAUUGCCGAUGAAACUGUUUUUCUAGAGUAUAAAAGAGGUAUGCGGAAUGCGUGGUGUAGCGGUGAAAUGCAUAGAUAUCACGCAGAACCCCGAUUGCGAAGGCAGCAUACUGGGCUAUAACUGACGCUGAAGCACGAAAGCGUGGGUAUCGAACAGGAUUAGAUACCCUGGUAGUCC
This 462-nucleotide ribosomal RNA is filed under the name Coprobacter fastidiosus. RNAcentral describes it as "bacterial SSU rRNA". It matches the Rfam family "Bacterial small subunit ribosomal RNA", at positions 337 to 796 of the family's 1533-position model. The record is from RNAcentral. Lineage: Bacteria; Pseudomonadati; Bacteroidota; Bacteroidia; Bacteroidales; Barnesiellaceae.